This 590-nucleotide ribosomal RNA is filed under the name Enterocytozoon bieneusi. RNAcentral's name for it is "SSU rRNA". It matches the Rfam family "Microsporidia small subunit ribosomal RNA", at positions 306 to 901 of the family's 1311-position model. The record is from RNAcentral. Lineage: Eukaryota; Fungi; Microsporidia; Enterocytozoonidae.
CACUCCUUACGGGGGAGACAGUCAUGAGACGUGAGUAUAAGACCUGAGUGUAAAGACCUUAGGGUGAAGCAAUUGGAGGGCAAGCUUUGGUGCCAGCAGCCGCGGUAACUCCAACUCCAAGAGUGUCUAUGGUGGAUGCUGCAGUUAAAGGGUCCGUAGUCGUGAAUGCAAUUAAAUGUCGUUGUUCAAUAGCGAUGAGUUUGCUAAUGUUUGCGGAACGGAUAGGGAGUGUAGUAUAGACUGGCGAAGAAUGAAAUCUCAAGACCCAGUUUGGACUAACGGAGGCGAAGGCGACACUCUUAGACGUAUCUUAGGAUCAAGGACGAAGGCAGGAGUAUCGAAAGUGAUUAGACACCGCUGUAGUUCCUGCAGUAAACUAUGCCGACAGCCUGUGUGUGAGAAUACGUGGGCGGGAGAAAUCUUAGUGUUCGGGCUCUGGGGAUAGUACGCUCGCAAGGGUGAAACUUAAAGCGAAAUUGACGGAAGGACACUACCAGGAGUGGAUUGUGCUGCUUAAUUUAACUCAACGCGGGAAAACUUACCAGGGUCAAGUCAUUCGUUGAUCGAAUACGUGAGAAUGGCAGGAGGGG